This is a small nuclear RNA of Phyllostomus discolor (pale spear-nosed bat), 105 nucleotides long. The record is from RefSeq and is a predicted model, not a curated record. Lineage: Eukaryota; Metazoa; Chordata; Mammalia; Chiroptera; Phyllostomidae.
GUGCUUGCUUCGGCAGCACAUGUACUGAAAACUGGAAGGAUACAGAGAUUAGCACAGCCCCUAUACAAGGAUGACAUGCAAAUUCGUGAAGCAUUCCAUAUUUUU